This 849-nucleotide ribosomal RNA is filed under the name Levilactobacillus brevis. RNAcentral describes it as "bacterial SSU rRNA". It matches the Rfam family "Bacterial small subunit ribosomal RNA", at positions 606 to 1454 of the family's 1533-position model. The record is from RNAcentral. Lineage: Bacteria; Bacillati; Bacillota; Bacilli; Lactobacillales; Lactobacillaceae.
GGCUUAACCCGGAGAAGUGCAUCGGAAACUGGGAGACUUGAGUGCAGAAGAGGACAGUGGAACUCCAUGUGUAGCGGUGGAAUGCGUAGAUAUAUGGAAGAACACCAGUGGCGAAGGCGGCUGUCUAGUCUGUAACUGACGCUGAGGCUCGAAAGCAUGGGUAGCGAACAGGAUUAGAUACCCUGGUAGUCCAUGCCGUAAACGAUGAGUGCUAAGUGUUGGAGGGUUUCCGCCCUUCAGUGCUGCAGCUAACGCAUUAAGCACUCCGCCUGGGGAGUACGACCGCAAGGUUGAAACUCAAAGGAAUUGACGGGGGCCCGCACAAGCGGUGGAGCAUGUGGUUUAAUUCGAAGCUACGCGAAGAACCUUACCAGGUCUUGACAUCUUCUGCCAAUCUUAGAGAUAAGACGUUCCCUUCGGGGACAGAAUGACAGGUGGUGCAUGGUUGUCGUCAGCUCGUGUCGUGAGAUGUUGGGUUAAGUCCCGCAACGAGCGCAACCCUUAUUAUCAGUUGCCAGCAUUCAGUUGGGCACUCUGGUGAGACUGCCGGUGACAAACCGGAGGAAGGUGGGGAUGACGUCAAAUCAUCAUGCCCCUUAUGACCUGGGCUACACACGUGCUACAAUGGACGGUACAACGAGUUGCGAAGUCGUGAGGCUAAGCUAAUCUCUUAAAGCCGUUCUCAGUUCGGAUUGUAGGCUGCAACUCGCCUACAUGAAGUUGGAAUCGCUAGUAAUCGCGGAUCAGCAUGCCGCGGUGAAUACGUUCCCGGGCCUUGUACACACCGCCCGUCACACCAUGAGAGUUUGUAACACCCAAAGCCGGUGAGAUAACCUUCGGGAGUCAGCC